RNAcentral lists this ribosomal RNA (253 nucleotides) under uncultured bacterium. RNAcentral's name for it is "partial 16S ribosomal RNA". It matches the Rfam family "Bacterial small subunit ribosomal RNA", at positions 524 to 776 of the family's 1533-position model. The record is from RNAcentral.
GACGGAGGAUGCAAGUGUUAUCCGGAAUCACUGGGCGUAAAGCGUCUGUAGGUGGUCAAAUAAGUCAACUGUUAAAUCUUGAGGCUUAACCUCAAAAUCGCAGUCGAAACUAUUAGACUAGAGUAUAGUAGGGGUAAAGGGAAUUUCCAGUGGAGCGGUGAAAUGCGUAGAGAUUGGAAAGAACACCGAUGGCGAAGGCGCUUUACUGGGCUAUUACUAACACUCAGAGGCGAAAGCUAGGGGAGCAAACGGG